This 165-nucleotide ribosomal RNA is filed under the name Leontodon hispidus. Its description in RNAcentral is "5.8S ribosomal RNA". It matches the Rfam family "5.8S ribosomal RNA". From Rfam's summary of the family: 5.8S ribosomal RNA (5.8S rRNA) is a component of the large subunit of the eukaryotic ribosome. The record is from RNAcentral. Lineage: Eukaryota; Viridiplantae; Streptophyta; Magnoliopsida; Asterales; Asteraceae.
ACAAACGACUCUCGGCAACGGAUAUCUCGGCUCACGCAUCGAUGAAGAACGUAGCAAAAUGCGAUACUUGGUGUGAAUUGCAGAAUCCCGUGAACCAUCGAGUUUUUGAACGCAAGUUGCGCCCGAAGCCAUUCGGCCGAGGGCACGCCUGCCUGGGCGUCACGC